GAUGAACGCUGGCGGCGUGCCUCAUACAUGCAAGUCGAGCGAGCGGCGGGCGGGUGAGAAAUGUCUGGGAAACUGCCUGAUGGAGGGGGAUAACAACUGGAAACGGUAGCUAAUAUCGCAUACCAUCAGAUAUGCCCACAUGGGAUUAGCUCGUCGGUGGGGGAACGGCUCACCUAGGCGACGCUCCCUAGCUGUCCUGAGAGGAUGACCAGCCACACUGGAACUGAUACACGGUCCAGACUCCUACGAGAGUCAGCAGUGGGGAAUAUUGCACAAUGGGCGCGAGCCUGAUGCAGCCAUGCCGCGUGUAUGAAGAAGGCCUUCGGGUUGUAAAGUACUUUCAGCGGGGAGGCGUUACCCGCAGAAGAAGCACCGGCUAACUCCGUGCCAGCAGCCGCGGUAAUAC
Molecule: ribosomal RNA, 406 nt
Filed under: uncultured bacterium
Lineage: Bacteria
Description: partial 16S ribosomal RNA
Rfam family: Bacterial small subunit ribosomal RNA
Source: RNAcentral